Molecule: ribosomal RNA, 484 nt
Filed under: uncultured Flavobacteriales bacterium
Lineage: Bacteria; Pseudomonadati; Bacteroidota; Flavobacteriia; Flavobacteriales
Description: bacterial SSU rRNA
Rfam family: Bacterial small subunit ribosomal RNA
Source: RNAcentral
GAUGAACGCUAGCGGGAGGCUUAACACAUGCAAGUCGAACGGUAACAGAAAGAGCUUGCUCUUUGCUGACGAGUGGCGCACGGGUGCGUAACACGUAUACAAUCUACCUCUUACUAAGGGAUAGCCCAGAGAAAUUUGGAUUAAUACCUUAUAGUAUUAAGUUUUCGCAUGAUUACUUAAUUAAAACUCCGGUGGUAUGAGAUGAGUAUGCGGUCUAUUAGUUUGUUGGUGAGGUAAUGGCUCACCAAGACUACGAUAGAUAGGGGUUCUGAGAGGAUUGUCCCCCACACUGGUACUGAGACACGGACCAGACUCCUACGGGAGGCAGCAGUGAGGAAUAUUGGUCAAUGGACGAAAGUCUGAACCAGCCAUCCCGCGUGCAGGAAGACGGCCUUAUGGGUUGUAAACUGCUUUUAUAUAGGAAGAAAAGCUUCUACGUGUAGAAGUCUGACGGUACUAUAUGAAUAAGCACCGGCUAACUCCG